AGACUGUCCAGUUUGGUCGAUGUACAUAGCAGAGGGGCAUUGCUGGCACAUGAUGAUGUACAUAACAUUGGUGGCUGUGCAGCCACUGCUUUACCAAGAGAGCUGAGAAGGGAAAAGGAACUGCUUUACCAGGAAAAGACAUUAACACACAAGGUGACACCAACCCAUUUUGGUUGCUGAAGGAUGCCUUUCCUGAGACACCAUGGAAUUUCUUUGCCCUGUAAUACUUAAAUGAGGUCUUUGCUGCGCAAAAUUUAAGUACUAAUUCACAUCGUGACUAGAAAAGGUUGAAAAUUGUCAGCAUUCAAACAAGAAAAAUUAAUGAAGUACUUCUAAUUUCUGACUGAAACCCUUCAGCCAGCAUACGAAGUGCAGAAAAAAUUGGAAUUCUGUUCUUAAACAGACAACGUUCUCUAACACAGAUCACAGGCAACAAUGUCUGAAGAACUUUGUCACAAAAGCAUAUAUGGGGAGAUUCUAGGAAAAACAAAUAAAUCUUUUCAUUUCCAUUUUGCCAGAGAGUGGGAAACACUUGUAAAGCUUUUCCAAAGUUUUCAUACAGAACUCUCAAAGAAGUAGAAAGCAGUGGUCACUUGUAAUAGGUCCCCUAAGUCUUUUAAGAGUGAUCACCAUUCUGGAAAGUAAUUGUGCUGUUUGACCUCCAUAGCAAAAGUGUGGCCUUACUGAUGAAUGUAGACACUAUAUUUUUAUCUUUUCCAUCUUUGUGGCUCCUAAUGAAGAAAAGGCCAAACUGGACAGCAAAUUAAAUGCAUACAUAAUAAUGCCUUUUCCAGACAAUGGCGACAUUGCUCCAUUUGAAUUUUGGAAAAUCCAUUGAACUGACUUCCCAACUUUGAGUUAUGCUGCUUUCCCCGCCCUCGAUGUCUCAUCUGAUGAGGAUCGAAUAUUUCUACAUGCAAGACUGCAGGAGAAUGAGUCUUGAGUGGAAAAAAGAGACACUGAAAAAAUUGUUGAGAGUCUACACUACCCAGGACUUUUGGAUUUACAUUGAAGCCCCUUAUAUCCAGGGUAAUAGCAGAAAACUGUUAAUAAACUGUUGUUAAAAGAAAAUUAAAAAGAAAUAAACCACAGCAUUAUAUUUCUGUUA
Long non-coding RNA from Chelonoidis abingdonii (Abingdon island giant tortoise), 1108 nucleotides. RefSeq lists it as uncharacterized. The record is from RefSeq and is a predicted model, not a curated record. NCBI's taxonomy places the organism in Eukaryota, Metazoa, Chordata, Testudines, Testudinidae.